CCUACCCUUGACAUGCCAGGAACUUGCCAGAGAUGGCUUGGUGCUCGAAAGAGAACCUGGACACAGGUGCUGCAUGGCCGUCGUCAGCUCGUGUCGUGAGAUGUUGGGUUAAGUCCCGCAACGAGCGCAACCCUUGUCAUUAGUUGCUACGAAAGGGCACUCUAAUGAGACUGCCGGUGACAAACCGGAGGAAGGUGGGGAUGACGUCAGGUCCUCAUGGCCCUUAUGGGUAGGGCUACACACGUCAUACAAUGGCCGGUACAGAGGGCUGCCAACCCGCGAGGGGGAGCCAAUCCCAGAAAACCGGUCGUAGUCCGGAUCGCAGUCUGCAACUCGACUGCGUGAAGUCGGAAUCGCUAGUAAUCGCGGAUCAGCUUGCCGCGGUGAAUAUGUUCCCGGGUCUUGUACACACCGCCCGUCACACCAUGGGAGCGGGUUCUGCCAGAAGUAGUUAGCCUAACCGCAAGGAGGGCGAUUACCACGGCAGGGUUCGUGACUGGGGUGAAGU
Molecule: ribosomal RNA, 508 nt
Filed under: uncultured Burkholderiales bacterium
Lineage: Bacteria; Pseudomonadati; Pseudomonadota; Betaproteobacteria; Burkholderiales
Description: bacterial SSU rRNA
Rfam family: Bacterial small subunit ribosomal RNA
Source: RNAcentral